GUUUGCAUAUGUGAAGAGAGAGCGAGAGGGAGAGAGAGAGAGAGAGAGCUUAAAACGAUUUGUAGCCUUUAAUGCGUUUCGUGGCCUUACAUAAGCGAAACGGUAAGCGAUACACGUGUCUCUGUCGCUGUUACUCUCACUCUCUCUCGCUCACUCACUCUCAUUUAGCACUUC
RNAcentral lists this microRNA precursor (174 nucleotides) under Drosophila guanche. Lineage: Eukaryota; Metazoa; Arthropoda; Insecta; Diptera; Drosophilidae. The record is from RNAcentral.